GUCUUAGUCUAUUGCAAUAAUUUUAUUAAUGUUAUAUUCUAAAAAAAAAAGUCCAAAUAUGAUAUGAAAUAGUUAACAUGUAUUAAGUCCAUUAGGUAUGAGAUGGUAGAUGCAUUUGGCCCAUAGGGUACGAAAUUGAUAUUAUCGUUGGUACGAAAUUGAUAUUAUCGUGGGUACGAAGUUGAUAUUAUCAUGGCUACGAAAUUGAUAUUAUUGUGUGUUUGAAAUGGUAAAUGUUGGGUAUGAAAGGCAAAUUUGGGUACGAACUGGCAGAUGUACGAAACGGUCAAGGUACAAAAUGACUUGCUUCCGAAUAUUUUGCAACAAAAUUCUAUCUUUCCAUUGAGUUUUACUUUUUUUAAUAUUAUCAUAUUUUUAAUUAUAUACAUUUAUCAUAUAUUUAGUAGUAGAUACAGUAGUUUUGAAGAUUUGAUAAAUAGCCUGCUGUUUAAUCCAUAUCGCGCAACUUUGAUGCGCACCCUUUGUCAUACCCUUUAUCACACUCCUAUCCUUUAUCACACCCCUAAUUUUUUUUAUUAUAUUUUUUUACAUAAAGUCAGAUUUUAUUUCUGUAAGCUUAAGAAAUGAUUUUCCUCAAAAUAGGUCCAAAAUGAACGGUCAUUCGGGCGUGACGCAAUUUAUUGAACAACUUGUGACUUGUGGCAUGUGACGUCACGAACGUCAAGUUUUCAUAUUUUUUGGAACACUAAAUGCAACUAUAAAAAAUACAAAACACACAAAAAAAUACAAUGAACAAAGUAUUUUUAAAACUACAGCACGCAAAUUGUAAUGUAACCCAGGUGCUUCGGAUAAGUAAUUGAGCAGUUCUUUUAAAAGGUUUUUAAAACCAGACAAAAGUAGAACUGAAGGUUACCCAGUGCUAUGGAUCAGAAAACAAUUCAUAUAAUAUAAUACUCUCCUGUUGAAAUAUAUGAUAAAGCGUAUAAAACAUGGCAAAAUCCGUAUCACAUGCUGUAUCACUCUCG
This 986-nucleotide long non-coding RNA is filed under the name Mytilus galloprovincialis (Mediterranean mussel). The record is from RNAcentral. Lineage: Eukaryota; Metazoa; Mollusca; Bivalvia; Mytilida; Mytilidae.